This 398-nucleotide ribosomal RNA is filed under the name Staphylococcus aureus. RNAcentral describes it as "bacterial LSU rRNA". It matches the Rfam family "Bacterial large subunit ribosomal RNA", at positions 1260 to 1653 of the family's 2925-position model. The record is from RNAcentral. Lineage: Bacteria; Bacillati; Bacillota; Bacilli; Caryophanales; Staphylococcaceae.
AUAGUAAAGACAGGUGGGGCGCCUAAAAAUUAGAAUGGCGGGUGGAAGAGCGGAAAGAGGGGUGGAAUCCCGUCCCACGGUUGAAUAAGGUUUUCAGGGGAAAGGCUCGUUCGGUCUGGGUUUUGCGGGUUCUAAGCUGAGGCCGACAGGCGUAGGCGAUGGGUAACAGGUUGAUCUUCCUGUACCACCCAUUAUCGUUUUAAUCGGAGGGGGGACGCAGUAGGAUCGGCGAAGCGUGCGAUUGUAUUGCAGGUCUAAGCCGUAAGGCUGAGUAUUAGGCAAAUCCGGUACUCGUUACGGCUAAGCUGUGAUGGGGCGACGACAUCGUGCGUUGUAGUCGUUUCUUUCCAACUCACGAGAAAACCCUCUUCUUAGUCCUUACGUGCAUGUACCCCAAA